GGAUAUAGCAUUCUUGUUGGGGUAUUUAUAGCUUUGGUUACAGCUCUGGAUAUAGCAUUCUUAUUGGGGUAAUUAUGGCUUUGGUUAUAGCAUUCUUGUUGGGGUAUUUAUGGCUUUGGUUAUAACUCUGGAUAUAGUAUUCUUGUUGGGGGUAAUUAUGGCUUUGGAUGUAACUAUGGAGUUGAGUAGUUAUAGAGCUGGAGGUAGUUAUCUGAGAAAGAUGUGGAGCUGGGGGUAGUUAGGGCUGUGAGCAAAGUUAUGAAGCUGGAAGUUGUUAGGGCUGCGGGGUAGUUAUGGAACGGGGUGGU
This is a non-coding RNA of Pelobates cultripes (western spadefoot toad), 308 nucleotides long. The record is from the annotation of a GenBank genome assembly. NCBI's taxonomy places the organism in Eukaryota, Metazoa, Chordata, Amphibia, Anura, Pelobatidae.